This 463-nucleotide ribosomal RNA is filed under the name uncultured bacterium. Its description in RNAcentral is "partial 16S ribosomal RNA". It matches the Rfam family "Bacterial small subunit ribosomal RNA", at positions 28 to 507 of the family's 1533-position model. The record is from RNAcentral.
GAUGAACGCUGACAGAAUGCUUAACACAUGCAAGUCUUUGGCGAAGCUGUGCUUGCACAGCCUAGCCAAGGCGGACGGGUGAGUAACGCGUAAGGAACUUGCCCUGCAGUCAGGGAUAACAGACGGAAACGACUGAUAAGACCUGGUAAAGUCAGGCGGACUCAUGUCCAGCCUGAUGAAAAGAGAUGCUGCAGGAGAGCCUUGCGUCCUAUUAGCUUGUUGGUGGGGUAACGGCCCACCAAGGCGAUGAUAGGUAGCCGGCCUGAGAGGGUGGACGGCCACAAGGGGACCGAGAUACGGCCCUUACUCCUACGGGAGGCAGCAGUGGGGAAUAUUGGACAAUGGGGGCAACCCUGAUCCAGCAAUUCUGUGUGCACGAUGAAGGUUUUCGGAUUGUAAAGUGCUUUCAGCAGGGAAGAAAAAAAUGACGGUACCUGCAGAAGAAGCGACGGCUAAAUACGUG